This 343-nucleotide ribosomal RNA is filed under the name uncultured bacterium. Its description in RNAcentral is "partial 16S ribosomal RNA". It matches the Rfam family "Bacterial small subunit ribosomal RNA", at positions 338 to 698 of the family's 1533-position model. The record is from RNAcentral.
CCUACGGGAGGCAGCAGUAAGGAAUAUUGCUCAAUGGGGGAAACUCUGAAGCAGCAACGCCGCGUGCAGGAUGAAGGUUUUCGGAUUGUUAAAUCCUUUUUUUAGCAGAGUUAAUGCCGGUAUCUAACGCAUACGCACCGUCUAACUCCGUGCCAGCAGCCGCGGUAAUGCGGCGGGUGCAAGCGUGACGCGGAAUAACUGGGCGUAAAGGGCGCGUAGGCGGGUUAGCAAGUCAGAUGUGAAAUCCUAAGGCUUAACCAUAGAACUGCAUUUGAAACUGUUAUUCUAGAGUAUGGUAGAGGUAGGUGGAAUGCUUGGUGUAGGGGUAAAAUGCGUAGAGAUC